RNAcentral lists this long non-coding RNA (553 nucleotides) under Zonotrichia albicollis (white-throated sparrow). RNAcentral describes it as "lncRNA (ENSZALG00000001906.1)". The record is from RNAcentral. Lineage: Eukaryota; Metazoa; Chordata; Aves; Passeriformes; Passerellidae.
AUCCAGUCCCUCCCAGUCUCUCCCAGUAUAUCCCAGUACCCCCAAUCCCUCCCAGUUUGUCCCAGUCUCUUCCAGUCCAUCCCAGUAUAACCCAGUCCAUCCCAGUCCAUCCCAGUAUAAACCAGUACCCCCCAGUAUAUCCCAGUCCCCCCCAGUCCCAUCCCAGUCCCUCCCAGUCCAUCCCAGUAUAACUCAGUCCAUCCCAGUCCCUCCCAGUCCAUCCCAGUCCCAUCCCAGUACCCCCUAGUCCAUCCCAGUAUAAAUCAGUCCCAUCCCAGUCCAUCCCAGUCCCUCCCAAUCGCAUCCCAGUAUAAACCAGUCCCAUCCCAGUCCAUCCCAGUAUCCCCCAGUCCCUCCCAGUCCAUCCCAGUUCCCAUUCCCAGUAUAUCCCAGUCCCUCCCAGUUUAUCCCAGUCCCUCCCAGUUCCCUCCCAGUUCAUCCCAGUUUGCUCCCAGUCCGCCUCAGUCCAUCUCAGUUCCCCCCUAGUUUAUCCCAGUUAUCCCCCAAAACCUCUCCAAGUCCCUCCCAGUCCCUCCCAGUUUCUCCCAUUUCC